AACGAACGCUGGCGGCAUGCCUAACACAUGCAAGUCGAACGAAACCAUCGGGUCUUUUGGCCCCCGGGUGCGUCACGCGAGGGAACCUGCCCUUAUGUACGGCCUACCUCCCCGACAGGGAUGCUUAUACCGGAUCAUGUCUUCUGACCAAAGAUUUAUCGCCUUUGGUUGGGCCCUCGUUUGAUUAGCUUGUUGGUAAGGUAAAGGCCUACCAAGGCACCGAUUCAUAGCUGGUCUGAGAGGCUGAUCAGCCACACUGGGACUGAGACGCGGCCCAGACUCCUACGGGAGACAGCGGUCGGGAAUCUACCGCAAUGGGCGGAAGCCUGACGGAGCAACGGGGCGUGAGUGAUGAAGGUCAUCGGAGCGUGAGACUCGGUUACUAGGGGGGAACAAAUGUGUAAGUACCGAGGCACGAAUUGAAGGUACGGAAUAAGAAGGCCCCGGCUAACUACGGC
This 458-nucleotide ribosomal RNA is filed under the name uncultured bacterium. RNAcentral's name for it is "partial 16S ribosomal RNA". It matches the Rfam family "Bacterial small subunit ribosomal RNA", at positions 29 to 508 of the family's 1533-position model. The record is from RNAcentral.